AGAGUCACCAAGGAAGAAACGCUGGGAGGGAAUUUCCCCAGCAGAGUGGAAAUCCUCCCCAGCUCUCCAAGACCGGCUGCUGGAUACGGAACUCUGGGGCCCCAAUAUAAGGAUGUGGAAAGAGCCAGUUUAUCUCUGCCUCUUACAUCCAAUACAGCUGAAUCUCUGAUGUGCACUUAUCUGACCCAAGAUAACUGUAAGCAGGACGUGAACUCUGCUUCUGUCUCUGAUGACCUCUGUUGUCACCCCCGACCACGGGGAUAUCUACAGAGGAAAUUCUCACUCUUUCCUGGUUGAGCUGUUCUGCUUUGUAUGGAAUCGACUGGGCCUGAGAUGACACCGAAGUGCCUGUCUUCAUACUAAUCUGGGUUACAUAGCUUUAAUUACUAAUACUUAUGUCACUCUUGUAUUAAGUACUUACAAGUGACUGCAUAUGCAUGUAUUUUAAUGGUCUUAAUGCACCUCUCUGGUUGUCUGGGAUAUGUUUUGCUUAUGUUAAAUCAGGUGAGAAAUUACAACACACUCUGGCACUGAAGCAGUAUUUCUAAGGCCACUGAAAACAGGACCUGUGUGUUUGAAGACAAGUAAUUUGGAAUAGCGUAUUUAAACAAAACACAGGGAACUGGAGAGAGCAAACAAAUUCUUUAGGAAAAGUCCUAUAGAAUUCUAUCAGGUCACGUGGGGUAUUAGAGAAGUAUCUGCGAGCGCCCAUUGUUUCAUGCAAAUUUACACUGUGAGGUUGUGAUACUUAUGCUCAAAUAAAUAACAACUUAUUUUC
Pseudopipra pipra is the source of this 778-nucleotide long non-coding RNA. RefSeq lists it as uncharacterized. The record is from RefSeq and is a predicted model, not a curated record. Lineage: Eukaryota; Metazoa; Chordata; Aves; Passeriformes; Pipridae. The transcript is spliced from 3 exons.